This 612-nucleotide ribosomal RNA is filed under the name uncultured bacterium. RNAcentral describes it as "bacterial SSU rRNA". It matches the Rfam family "Bacterial small subunit ribosomal RNA", at positions 222 to 851 of the family's 1533-position model. The record is from RNAcentral.
AAGAUGGACUCGCGUCCGAUUAGCUAGUUGGUGAGGUAACGGCUCACCAAGGCGACGAUUGGUAGCCGGACUGAGAGGUUGAACGGCCACAUUGGGACUGAGACACGGCCCAGACUCCUACGGGAGGCAGCAGUGGGGAAUAUUGCACAAUGGGGGGAACCCUGAUGCAGCGACGCCGCGUGAGGGAAGAAGGUUUUCGGAUUGUAAACCUCUGUCCUUGGUGACGAUAAUGACGGUAGCCAAGGAGGAAGCCACGGCUAACUACGUGCCAGCAGCCGCGGUAAUACGUAGGUGGCGAGCGUUGUCCGGAAUUACCGGGUGUAAAGGGAGCGUAGGCGGGAAGACAAGUUGGGAGUGAAAUGUAUGGGCUUAACCCAUAAACUGCUUUCAAAACUGUUCUUCUUGAGUGAAGUAGAGGCAGGCGGAAUUCCUAGUGUAGCGGUGAAAUGCGUAAAUAUUAGGAGGAACACCAGUGGCGAAGGCGGCCUGCUGGGCUUUAACUGACGCUGAGGCUCGAAAGCGUGGGUAGCAAACAGGAUUAGAUACCCUGGUAGUCCACGCUGUAAACGAUGAUUACUAGGUGUGGGGGGACUGACCCCUUCCGUGCCGGAG